CAUUCCAUAUAUCGAUAGGAUCAAUCUGUCGUCUGCCGGUCGGCCGGCCUGCACCCUAUAAAUUGCACCGCAUGCAGCUUCUUUAUCAUAUCCCAUCCAUUUAACUCGAUCACUCAUUUGGAUCAAUUUCAAUUUCCACACAAAUCCGCCCGCCCAUCCAUCUCGAUCUUAGCUACCUAGCUUAAUUGCUAGCUGCACUUAAUUAAUUUGCAGAAGAGAACGAAGAUCAGAUGGUGAUGCCCAAAACACGCCGCCGCUGCUUCUUGCUGCUCUCUUUCUUGCUUUGCUUCAUGUUAAUCGCUACUCAAGGUGCAGGGAGAAAUUUGAGAAGUGCAAGCAGUGAAUUGGAAGGAGCUAAAAAACAUACAAGGAAUCAUCAUCACCAUCGUCAAAGUGUUGUAGUAAUUACAAAGAAGAAGGUACCGGCCAAGACCACAGUAGACAUAGACAUAGACAUAAACAACGAGGAUUACACUCCUGCUCAGAAGAAACCUCCUAUUCAUAAUUGAUCCCAUCCAUCUCAUCCACAACAAUAAUAUAUAUACCAAUUCUAGAUAGCUCGAUCGCGAGCUGCAUGCAUGCAUGCAUGCAAAUAUAAGAUCAGAUCCAUCCAUCCAUCCAUUUUCUUUUUUGAAAACUAAACUUUAUAUAUAUAUAGAUACAGUUUCAAUUAGUCGAUUAACUAAGAGUACGAAUGUCCGUUAAGUUGUAUGUGGAUCUGAUAGAUCACCCGGCCUAUCCAUGUAAUUAAGUUGCUAGCUUAUAUUAGGCGUUGUUAGUCAGUUGCAAUUUACGUUAUAAUAUAUUAAUAUAAUAGUUGCAAUUAAGAUCAGAGGGCGUAGAGUAUAUAUAUAUAUAUAUAUAUAUAUAUAUAUAUAUAUGGUUAAUUAGCUAGCUGCGCUGCGCUAUAGGAAGUAGUGAUGAUGGAUUUGUAUGUAUAUAUAAUAUUUAAGAUAUAUAAUGUAUGUUACAUAGCGCCAAUGUAAUAAUGUUAGUUUAUAGUAUUAUCAUAUCAUAUCAAUUCAAUAUA
This is a long non-coding RNA of Ipomoea triloba (trilobed morning glory), 1030 nucleotides long. RefSeq lists it as uncharacterized. The transcript has 2 exons. NCBI's taxonomy places the organism in Eukaryota, Viridiplantae, Streptophyta, Magnoliopsida, Solanales, Convolvulaceae. The record is from RefSeq and is a predicted model, not a curated record.